UCAAUAGUCAUUAAAAUGAAUGAUCCAUGUCAAUGGCCUACAAAAUUGAUGGUCCAUGACUAACUGAUUUUCACUAACCAUCAUAUGGACUACACAUUUGAUUUCAUGGGCCAUUUUAUUGAUUGUGGAGCUCAAGAUCACUUUGCUAGUGGAAUUGACUGAUUCAGGAAUUAUGGAAUUUACUUUUUUUCCUUAUUUGACACCAUGCUUUUGGACCUUCUAAUUGCCUAAUUUGUUAAUUGGGUAAAGGGUUGUUGCUCAAAUGUCUUAACAACACACUUCAUGAAUUGGGUGGUAUUAAAUCUACCGAAUUCAUGAAUUACCUGUUGAUGCAAAACUUCUUGCAGGCUUCAUUUUUUCUUCUUUCUUUAAAGUGAGCUUUGAAUAUUGGUCUUUCAUAUUCAUAUGCAUUGGGCUUCAAUCAAUGCAGGGGUAUUACUCAAUGGCUAAACAGCUAUUGAACUUUGAGGUUCUCAAUCAGGUAACCAUCACUUGCUGUCCUCUGUCAUCAUUGUUAUGAAUGUUUUUCUUUGAACAAGAGAAAAGUAUCAUUGGAGAUUUUCAAUGGUAUUUUGGUAUGGCUACCAUCAUCCUGUUUGUUCCUUCUAACUGAAAUUAUUAUAUCAGCAAUCUCCUGAGAAAACCAUUUCUAAAUUUGAAUUUCUUAAGAAGAAAUUUUAUAUUGAAAGAAGCUUAGAUGAGUUUUUUAAUUGGAAUGAGCAAGGAAUAGGAGGAGAGAGAUUUUAAGAUGAAUUAGUCCUCUUUAUAUAUAUAUAACUCAAGGUUUUCUAUUAGCAUUUUUCACCAGUGAGGAAAUAGCUGAAUUUAUCGUAUGUAACAUGCAUGCAAGUAAUGUGUGCUUGCAAGUGCCCCACACAUGCCAACGUGGGACACGUGUGUGAGUCCAGGUGACUCAUUAAGCAUGUCUAAUGAACAGCUCAGAUAAUGCAUCCAUGCUGGCACCACAGUCACUUGUAACCAUUGCAUCUCUUCUUGACUAUCUUCUUGCAGGCCAUAAACUUAAAUGUUAUGAUUGUCCCAUCAAGGAGAUUUUCAAUGCUUGGUCCAUCUAUUAUGGGUCCAACAGACUGAUGGUGGGCCCCACUUGUAGAUAGCCUUGGUUGAAACACAUGAAGAAAAUGAGGUGUACUCUGAACCUUGUGUGAGCCCCCACAAGAUGUAAAAGCUUAUAUCCAUCGAUUUGGCUGCACAGGGAGAGCUGGUAAUAGAGUUUGAUAUCCAUCGAUCUGGUAAGGACUGGUUGCACAUUUACUACGUGAGUUCUCUUAUAUUAGGCAAUAGUGUGAGCCCCCAUGAGAUGUAAAACCUAAAGAAGCAUUUGUUGAUGAGUUUUCUUAUACUAGGCAAUGAAGAGUGCUAGACAGAUUUUUAAUGCAGUUUCUAGAGCUUAAAAUCAUAUACUUUCUAAUUUGAAAACUUGCAGUGAUUUGUUCUUAGGUUUGUAUUGUACUUUCAAGUGUGUCCAAGGUAUCUUAUUUUUAAGCUUAACAAUGAGUCUUU
This is a long non-coding RNA of Magnolia sinica, 1521 nucleotides long. RefSeq lists it as uncharacterized. NCBI's taxonomy places the organism in Eukaryota, Viridiplantae, Streptophyta, Magnoliopsida, Magnoliales, Magnoliaceae. The transcript is spliced from 2 exons. The record is from RefSeq and is a predicted model, not a curated record.